RNAcentral lists this ribosomal RNA (305 nucleotides) under uncultured bacterium. RNAcentral describes it as "bacterial SSU rRNA". It matches the Rfam family "Bacterial small subunit ribosomal RNA", at positions 337 to 659 of the family's 1533-position model. The record is from RNAcentral.
CUCUACGGGAGGCAGCAGUCGGGAAUAUUGCGCAAUGGAGGAAACUCUGACGCAGUGACGCCGCGUAUAGGAAGAAGGUUUUCGGAUUGUAAACUAUUGUCGUUAGGGAAGAGAAAGGACAGUACCUAAGGAGGAAGCUCCGGCUAACUACGUGCCAGCAGCCGCGGUAAUACGGAGGAUGCGAGCGUUAUCCGGAUUUAUUGGGUUUAAAGGGUGCGUAGGCGGAAGGUUAAGUCAGCGGUCAAAUGUCGGUGCUCAACACCGGCCUGUCGUUGAAACUGGUCUUCUUGAGUGAGCGAGAAGUA